AAAUUCACCCUUACAGUUUGAUCCUGGCUCAGAUUGAACGCUGGCGGCAGGCCUAACACAUGCUAUUCAAACGGUGCACAGGAAACAGCUUGUCUGUUUCUCUGACGAGUGGCGGACGGGUGAGUAAUGUCUGGGAAACUGCCUGAUGGAGGGGGAUAACUACUGGAAACGGUCUCUUAUACCUUAUAACGUCGCAAGACCAAAUAAGGGGACCCCCGGGCCUCUUGCCAUCGAAUGUGCCCAUAUGGCAUUAUCUUGGUGGUGGGGUAACAGCUCACACAAGCAACUAACCAUAGCUGGGCUGAGACGGUGACCCGGCUCCCUGGAGCUGAUACACGGCUCAGACAUCUUCCGUGGGCGUCAAGGGGGAAUAUUGUUCAUUGGGCUGCAGCCUGAUACACCCAUGCU
This 408-nucleotide ribosomal RNA is filed under the name uncultured bacterium. Its description in RNAcentral is "bacterial SSU rRNA". It matches the Rfam family "Bacterial small subunit ribosomal RNA", at positions 1 to 398 of the family's 1533-position model. The record is from RNAcentral.